This 492-nucleotide ribosomal RNA is filed under the name uncultured bacterium. RNAcentral's name for it is "partial 16S ribosomal RNA". It matches the Rfam family "Bacterial small subunit ribosomal RNA", at positions 29 to 507 of the family's 1533-position model. The record is from RNAcentral.
AGUGAACGCUGGCGGUAGGCCUAACACAUGCAAGUCGAACGGCAGCACAGUAAGAGCUUGCUCUUACGGGUGGCGAGUGGCGGACGGGUGAGGAAUACAUCGGAAUCUACUUUUUCGUGGGGGAUAACGUAGGGAAACUUACGCUAAUACCGCAUACGACCUACGGGUGAAAGCAGGGGAUAUUCGGACCUUGCGCGAUUGAAUGAGCCGAUGUCGGAUUAGCUAGUUGGCGGGGUAAAGGCCCACCAAGGCGACGAUCCGUAGCUGGUCUGAGAGGAUGAUCAGCCACACUGGAGCUGAGACACGGUCCAGACUCCUACGGGAGGCAGCAGUGGGGAAUAUUGGACAAUGGGCGCGAGCCUGAUCCAGCCAUACCGCGUGGGUGAAGAAGGCCUUCGGGUUGUAAAGCCCUUUUGUUGGGAAAGAAAAGCAGCAGGUUAAUACCCCGCUGUUCUGACGGUACCCAAAGAAUAAGCACCGGCUAACUUCGUG